ACUGGGUAAUAGUUGAAAGCAAUCGUAUAUUUACUAAAUUCUUUAUCACUUAGCCGAAAUUCGUAUCUAUAGUUUUGUAUAUAAAUAACAAAAUGGCGAGUGUUUUGCUUUCACACUCACAGCAUUCGCAGGUUGAAACUUUAAAGAGGCGUAAGAAACAAACUAAAAUUCUAAAAAAAUAAAUAAACUAAAAAAUUCUUUUGUCUGUUCGCGAACAUUUAUCUUUAUCGGAUGAAGCAACACGGUUUGUCUGUCGACUGCGAAAUUCUCAGCUGCAGCAACUCAAUAUUUGGUAUCAGGCUUUUCUGCCAGCAGUCUCUUCUUCCUCAAGAUGACAUUUCUGACGUGUUCCUUAGGAUGGUCAUGUUGGUUUUUGAUUAUGUCAUUAAGGAUGUGCUGUUGAGCGAAAAGACUACUACACAGUGGAAACUGGUUCAAGAACAGAUGACUAAUUAACAACAAUGAAAAGACAAAUCAGAAACAAGAGGAGAGGCAUUUACUACACAUGUGCAGUUUGUUUGGUUUUAUUUACAGUCAUUAUUUUAAGAUCCGCCAAACAGUCAAAGAUCUCAAAGUUGAGACUUAAAUCUCGAAUGGAUUCUUAUUUUUCAGUUGAUUGUGUCUAACACAAAUAAGAUGGAACUGAAGCAUCCCACAUGCACAAUAGCAAUAAUGAGAACUAUGAGAGAGGAUAUGAAUUGUGGCUUAUGGUUAAAGCCAAAAAGAGAAAUCAAAAUAUUAAAUUGUAUGGCCUUACUUGGGCAUUUUCUGGUUGGAUUGGUCAAGGCACACAUAAUCCUUAUACAAAUGUUUCUCUGACAGCUUACAUUGUUUGAUGGAUUACUGGAGCUACAAGAAGGCAUAAUUUAACAAUAGUCUACAUUGGGCUGCCAUUAUCCAAGCACAUAUGAUUCUCCGGAGGCUUACAUCACUGGAAAAAGUCUUUCGCCUCUGAAGAUUACAGUACAUGUAAUGCUGCAAAUGGAGGAGGAUGCUGGGCCAGAUGUCAUACACAACAGAAGCAGAAAGAAGGGUGAAAAUGCAACGGCGCCUGGUGAUUAUAUAUGCCCAACCUGCGAUCGCAGCAGUGUAUCAAGGAUUGGCCUCUUUAGUCACACAAGAAGUUGCAAAGGAUUUGAUUUGGUGAUCCCUCUUCAGAAACAUCAGAUCAAAGGAAUGUACAUGCUGCUGAUAUAGAAAAAGUUUCUGACUGCUUACAGAUCAGUGUUCUUAGUUCUGCUAUUGAUUUACUAUUGCAUAAUAAAUAAACAUGUAAUGAUCAAUCACAUUUUUAUACCAAGUUCAUCUAAUGAUUUACACAGCAUAUUAUCAGCAUUCACAGUUCAUCUAAUGAUCUACAUAUGAAGCAGCACCAUGCAGAGCUAACAUCACCUACUGAAGAGAGUUUCCAUCAUGCUUUAGCAACAAUCCAAAAACAAAAUGAAAAAGUGGUUUCUUUGUUUGGGAUAAGUCCUGAAAGGCCUUCAGAAUCUGGGAGCACACUAUUGUUAACAAGCAGUGUGUCAUAUGACCAGCACAAUGACCAACAGCCUUUACUUUUCGAACCAAAGUCAGGUAACUAUGAAACUAUCUAAAGCACAUAGGAGUCUAAUGACACAUUUUUACUAAACUUUAAAUUAAAUGGAUCUUAAAUGUCUAGUGAAACAUUGUAAUCAAACUAUGAUUUUUGAAUAUAGUCUAGUAAAACAUUAUGAUUGAACUUUGUUUAGUGCAUAAAUGUCUAGUGAAAAAUUCUGAUAAAACUUUGUUUAGUUCAUAUGAGUGUAGUGAAAAAUUGUGACCCAACUUUGUAAUAUGCAUAAAAGUCUAGUGAAACAUUUUGAUCAAACUUUGUAAAGUUCAUAGAUGUCUGGUGAAACAAUCUGAUCAAAUCUUUUUAGCGCAUAAAAAUCUAGUAAAACAUUCUUAUCACCUAUGCUUAUCUUAUAGAAGUCUAAAAAAAAGUUCCCUUUUCAGUCCUUGUAAUCUAUAGGAAAGUUAAUAUUAAGGUUAUAAAUCUGUUUUUGUGGCCUACAGUUAACAAGCAGUUUGUCAUGUCUCCUUAUUAAAGGUUCUGGAUUUGUUAGUGGUUUGCAGCUUGUUCAUAUUUCCUUUUUGAACUCAUUAGUAUUUCUGAACUUCUUUUUAAUUUCUUAGACAGCUCAUUAGGAGUAUGGAACCCUUUCCUAUGACAACUUUUUAGGAGUGUUAUGGUAUCAUUGAUAUGUGUGUGUGUGUUUUAUGAUUAGGGUUAGUUAUGCAAUGAGAAUGAUGCAAGAUAAGCCGCCUUGUCAUUAGUGUUCUUGACUCCAGAAUGCCUAUUUGAAAGUACAUUUUUUUAGUGAGUUAGAUUUUCUUUGGAAUACAAUUUUUUCAUUAUUACUAAGUUUAUUACAUUUAGGCUUUCCCCCAGGAUAGAUUACAGUUAUUCAUUUCAUUUAAACUUGAUUUUCUUUAUAAUGUAAUUCAAGUUCUGUUUUGUUUGUUGUAAAAUGUUUUACAUGUUUCGGAUGUUCCUUCAGAGUUGAAGAUAAUUACUUCCUAGUCCUAACCUCCCGCAGGACGACAGAGGAUGGGAGCGGGCAGGGUUUUAACCCUGGACCAUCGAUAAAUCUGAACGACAGUCCAGCGCGCAAACCACACGACCAGGCAGCCAUCCAGUUCUAUUUAGUAUUAAUCACAAAAAAUCAAUAAGUAAUUUCAAGUUAAGAUGUAAUAUACCUUUAGUAGUUUAAUUGUGUACCAGCAGUUUGGUGCUUCAGGUCAACAACCAUACACUACAAGGAGUUGUCAACUGGUUGAUACUUACUUUGAGAACUCAUUAGGAGUUUGCAACUUGUUAACAUUUUCUUAGCUCAUCAGGAGUUUGCAUCUUGUUCAUAUUUUCUUAGAUCAGUGUUUCCCAAACUGUGUUCUGUAGAACCCUAUUUAACUAGUAACCACAACAUAAAUUUAUCUCUGUAAAAAAAAACAACAAAAUGUUUCGCUAAUGACUCAAAAUGUGUGAAGUGUUCCAUUAAGAAAAAUAAUGCCUUAGAGAACUAACUAAGAGUUUGCAACUUGUUCAUAUUUCAUAAUAUAUAGCUCAUUAGGAGUUUGCAACUUGUUUAUAUUUUAUUAGACAACUUAUAAGGAGUUUGAAAUUCAUUCAUAAUUCCUUGACAACUAAAGGAGUCUGCAACAUGUUCAUGUUUACUUAGACAGCUCAUUAGGAGUUAAGAACCUAUUCAUGUUUCCUUAGAGAACUUAUUAGGUGUAUGGAACUUGUUCAUAUCUCCUUGACAGUUCAUUAAGAUUCUGCAAUUUGUUCAUAUUUCAUUUGACAGCCCAAUAGGAGUUCAGAACUUGUUCAUAUUUCCUUUCUUGAAGGUCACCAAUACAUUUCUGUAAAUAAUGUUGAAUAAUGUCUAUAUUCAAAUUUUUUUGAAAUACUAAAUUUGAUUUAAAUGGCUUUGGUUAGAUUAAAAUCAUGUCUGAAACUUUGUCACAAGUUUAGAGAUUGUCUAUUCUUACUCUUAAUUUUACCUUUUUAUUAACUUGCGUAUUUUUGUUUUUAUUUCUUACUCAUAAUUUUUACCUUUUUAUUAACUUGUGUAUUUUUGCUCUUUUUUUAGGACACUGUUCAAAGAUAUUUUAAGAUGUUGGCCUCACAUCUUGACACUUGUUAGAGUGUAAAGAUUUGACUUAACAAAUGUUAAAAUAAAAAGAGCACAUUGUGGAGGGUUGACCGUCAUUAAAAAAUUUACAUGUACUUAUUCUGUUUAAAAAAAUGUCCCUCUAACAAAUAAAAAAAAAUAAAGUAAAUAUAUUACUCUU
Biomphalaria glabrata is the source of this 3816-nucleotide RNA transcript. RefSeq lists it as uncharacterized. NCBI's taxonomy places the organism in Eukaryota, Metazoa, Mollusca, Gastropoda, Planorbidae. The record is from RefSeq and is a predicted model, not a curated record. The transcript is spliced from 8 exons.